UACGAAGGGGGCUAGCGUUGCUCGGAAUCACUGGGCGUAAAGCGCACGUAGGCGGCUUUCUAAGUCAGGGGUGAAAUCCCGGAGCUCAACUCCAGAACUGCCUUUGAUACUGGAGAGCUUGAGUCCGGAAGAGGUGAGUGGAACUCCGAGUGUAGAGGUGAAAUUCGUAGAUAUUCGGAAGAACACCAGUGGCGAAGGCGGCUCACUGGUCCGGUACUGACGCUGAGGUGCGAAAGCGUGGGGAGCAAACAGG
Molecule: ribosomal RNA, 253 nt
Filed under: uncultured bacterium
Lineage: Bacteria
Description: partial 16S ribosomal RNA
Rfam family: Bacterial small subunit ribosomal RNA
Source: RNAcentral